AGCGGGUUGGCCGAGAGGCUUAUGGCGCUGGUCUUGAAAACCAGAGGACGGGAAACCGUUCCGUGAGUUCGAAUCUCACACCCGCUG
Molecule: transfer RNA, 87 nt
Rfam family: tRNA
About the family: Transfer RNA (tRNA) molecules are approximately 80 nucleotides in length. Their secondary structure includes four short double-helical elements and three loops (D, anti-codon, and T loops). Further hydrogen bonds mediate the characteristic L-shaped molecular structure. tRNAs have two regions of fundamental functional importance: the anti-codon, which is responsible for specific mRNA codon recognition, and the 3' end, to which the tRNAs corresponding amino acid is attached (by aminoacyl-tRNA synthetases). tRNAs cope with the degeneracy of the genetic code in two manners: having more than one tRNA (with a specific anti-codon) for a particular amino acid; and 'wobble' base-pairing, i.e. permitting non-standard base-pairing at the 3rd anti-codon position.
Source: Rfam